RNAcentral lists this long non-coding RNA (850 nucleotides) under Salmo salar (Atlantic salmon). Its description in RNAcentral is "lncRNA (ENSSSAG00000120713.1, ENSSSAG00020080017.1, ENSSSAG00075065811.1)". The record is from RNAcentral. Lineage: Eukaryota; Metazoa; Chordata; Actinopteri; Salmoniformes; Salmonidae.
GUCUUGAUUCUUCUUGGGCAUGAAGCUACAAGCUUGGCACACCUGUAUUUGGGGAGUUUCUCCCAUUCUUCUCUGCAGAUCCUCUCAAACUCUGUCAGGUUGGAUGGGGAGUGUUGCUGCACUGCUCUUUUCAGGUCUCUCCAGUUAUGUUCGAUCGGGUUCAAGUCCAGGCUCUUGCUGGGCCACUCAAGGACAUUCAGAGACUUGUCCCGAAGCCACUCCUGCGUUGUCUUGGCUGUGUGCUUAGUGUCGCUGUCCUGUUGGAAGGUGAAUGUUCGCCCCCAGUCUGAGGUCCUGAGCGCUCUGGAGCAGGUUAUCAUUAAGGAUCUUUCUGUACUUUGCUCUGUUCAUCUUUGCCAGAAGAUGGAACUAAACUUGUUUCUUCUCUACAGUAAGCAGACAUUGUCCUAGGAUUAGAAGUUUGGUUGGGUUCCCAUGUGUGAUGCGGGUCAGCAAUGUGCUGUUGGCAAAGGUGCAAGAAUUGGGAAGUUGUGCGAGUGUUCACGGGGAACGAGGGAAUCGAGGAUGACGGCUACCAUCUGAUCAAUCAUCCGAUGCCGGUGGGCGGAGCCGGGAGGGUCGUCAGCGACAUGGGACACACCUGGGCCCGGGUGUGUCCCAGGAUAAAUACAGCACUUCCCCCAUUCAUGGAGGAGACUUUCCAUGCAGACACCUUUAUAGGUUUUGUUGUGGUGUUUUUGUGGCCUUUUGUUUGCUUUGGCACCUUUCAACACCCCGCAUCACACUACGGAUUACUGAUUACACACACCAUUGUUAAUUGUAUUUAGUUUACUUUAAUAAAUAUAUUUUGUUAUUCCUUGUCUCCCUUUUGUUACGAACUUCGAGCCGC